Molecule: ribosomal RNA, 553 nt
Filed under: uncultured Geobacteraceae bacterium
Lineage: Bacteria; Pseudomonadati; Thermodesulfobacteriota; Desulfuromonadia; Geobacterales; Geobacteraceae
Description: bacterial SSU rRNA
Rfam family: Bacterial small subunit ribosomal RNA
Source: RNAcentral
GAGUUUGAUCCUGGCUCAGAACGAACGCUGGCGGCGUGCUUAACACAUGCAAGUCGAACGUGAUCCGGAGCUUGCUCCGGUGAAAGUGGCGCACGGGUGAGUAACGCGUGGAUAACCUGCCCUGGUAUCUGGGAUAACAUCUCGAAAGGGGUGCUAAUACCGGAUAAGCCUACGGGAUCUUCGGAUUCUGCAGGAAAAGGAGGCCUCUAUUUAUAAGCUUCCGUAUCAUGAUGGGUCCGCGUACCAUUAGCUAGUUGGUGGGGUAAUGGCCCACCAAGGCUACGAUGGUUAGCUGGUCUGAGAGGAUGAUCAGCCACACUGGAACUGAGACACGGUCCAGACUCCUACGGGAAGCAGCAGUGGGGAAUUUUGCGCAAUGGGGGAAACCCUGACGCAGCAACGCCGCGUGAGUGAUGAAGGCUUUCGGGUCGUAAAGCUCUGUCAGAGGGGAAGAAAUGAGUCUGGCUAAUAUCCAGAUUUCUUGACGGUACCCUCAAAGGAAGCACCGGCUAACUCCGUGCCAGCAGCCGCGGUAAUACAAGGGCGAMUUGGK